RNAcentral lists this ribosomal RNA (462 nucleotides) under Veillonella atypica. RNAcentral's name for it is "bacterial SSU rRNA". It matches the Rfam family "Bacterial small subunit ribosomal RNA", at positions 28 to 470 of the family's 1533-position model. The record is from RNAcentral. Lineage: Bacteria; Bacillati; Bacillota; Negativicutes; Veillonellales; Veillonellaceae.
GACGAACGCUGGCGGCGUGCUUAACACAUGCAAGUCGAACGAAGAGCGAUGGAAGCUUGCUUCUAUCAAUCUUAGUGGCGAACGAGUGAGUAACGCGUAAUCAACCUGCCCUUCAGAGGGGGACAACAGUUGGAAACGACUGCUAAUACCGCAUACGAUCCAAUCUCGGCAUCGAGACUGGAUGAAAGGUGGCCUCUAUUUAUAAGCUAUCACUGAAGGAGGGGAUUGCGUCUGAUUAGCUAGUUGGAGGGGUAACGGCCCACCAAGGCGAUGAUCAGUAGCCGGUCUGAGAGGAUGAACGGCCACAUUGGGACUGAGACACGGCCCAGACUCCUACGGGAGGCAGCAGUGGGGAAUCUUCCGCAAUGGACGAAAGUCUGACGGAGCAACGCCGCGUGAGUGAUGACGGCCUUCGGGUUGUAAAGCUCUGUUAAUCGAGACGAAUGGUUCUUGUGCGAAUAG